Molecule: microRNA precursor, 83 nt
Organism: Ovis aries (sheep)
Lineage: Eukaryota; Metazoa; Chordata; Mammalia; Artiodactyla; Bovidae
Source: Ensembl
UUGGGUUGGCCAAGAAGUGUGUUCAGGUUUUUCUGUAACAUUGUACAGAAAAGUAUGAAUGAACUUUUUGGCCAAUCCAAUAU